AUACGUAGGUGGCAAGCGUUGUCCGGAAUUACUGGGUGUAAAGGGCGUGUAGGCGGAGCAGCAAGUCAGAAGUGAAAUCUCCGGGCUUAACCCGGAAACUGCUUUUGAAACUGUUGCCCUUGAGUAUCGGAGAGGCAGGCGGAAUUCCUAGUGUAGCGGUGAAAUGCGUAGAUAUUAGGAGGAACACCAGUGGCGAAGGCGGCCUGCUGGACGACAACUGACGCUGAGGCGCGAAAGCGUGGGGAGCAAACAGGAUUAGAUACCCUGGUAGUCCACGCUGUAAACGAUGAAUACUAGGUGUAGGGGGUAUCAACUCCCUCUGUGCCGCAGCAAACGCAAUAAGUAUUCCGCCUGGGGAGUACGGCCGCAAGGUUGAAACUCAAAUGAAUUGACGGGG
RNAcentral lists this ribosomal RNA (397 nucleotides) under uncultured bacterium. RNAcentral describes it as "partial 16S ribosomal RNA". It matches the Rfam family "Bacterial small subunit ribosomal RNA", at positions 523 to 918 of the family's 1533-position model. The record is from RNAcentral.